This 444-nucleotide ribosomal RNA is filed under the name uncultured bacterium. Its description in RNAcentral is "bacterial SSU rRNA". It matches the Rfam family "Bacterial small subunit ribosomal RNA", at positions 339 to 797 of the family's 1533-position model. The record is from RNAcentral.
GUACGGGAGGCAGCAGUGGGGAAUAUUGCGCAAUGGGGGGAACCCUGACGCAGCAACGCCGCGUGAGUGAAGAAGGCCUUCGGGUCGUAAAACUCUGUCAUUGGGGAAGAAAGAAAUGACGGUACCCGAUGAGGAAGCCCCGGCUAACUACGUGCCAGCAGCCGCGGUAAUACGUAGGGGGCGAGCGUUGUCCGGAAUUACUGGGCGUAAAGGGUGCGUAGGCGGCCGAUUAAGUCAGAUGUGAAAUACCACGGCUCAACUGUGGGGGUGCAUAUGAAACUGGUUGGCUUGAGUGCAGGAGAGGAAAGUGGAAUUCCUAGUGUAGCGGUGAAAUGCGUAGAGAUUAGGAGGAACACCAGUGGCGAAGGCGACUUUCUGGACUGUAACUGACGCUGAGGCACGAAAGCGUGGGGAGCAAACAGGAUUAGAUACCCCGGUAGUCCA